RNAcentral lists this ribosomal RNA (865 nucleotides) under uncultured bacterium. RNAcentral's name for it is "bacterial SSU rRNA". It matches the Rfam family "Bacterial small subunit ribosomal RNA", at positions 35 to 916 of the family's 1533-position model. The record is from RNAcentral.
GUUGCCGCCAUUGAUUCAGGCAUGCAGUCGUACGAAUCCCGUGGGGGGUACUCGCGGGGGAGUGCGAAGGGCAGUAGGCAUGGGUAACCUGCCCGGACUCGGAAUAGCCUCCCUAACGGGUGGAUAAUACCGAAUGGCCGUGCCGAGGGGGCAUCCCCUUGGCACGAAAGCUCCGGCGGUCCGGGAGGGGCUCAUGUGGUAUUAGCUAGUUGGUGAGGUAACGGCUCACCAAGGCGAAGAUGCCUAGCGGGUGUGAGAGCACGACCCGCGCCACUGGCACUGUGACACUGGCCAGACUCCUACGGGAGGCUGCAGUCGAGGAUCUUCGGCAAUGGGCGAAAGCCUGACCGAGCGAUGCCGCGUGUGCGAUGAAGGCCUUCGGGUUGUAAAGCACUGUCGUGGGGUAGAAAGGGGCAACCCUGAUCGACCCCAGGAGGAAGCUCGGGCUAAGUUCGUGCCAGCAGCCGCGGUAAGACGAACCGAGCGAACGUUAUUCGGAAUCAUUGGGCUUAAAGGGCGCGUAGGCGGGCCUCCAAGUCAGGGGUGAAAUCCCACGGCUCAACCGUGGAAGAGCCUUUGAUACUGGGGGCCUCGAGCGAGGUAGGGGCGUGCGGAACUUCCGGUGGAGCGGUGAAAUGCGUAGAUAUCGGAAGGAACACCGGUGGCGAAAGCGGCACGCUGGACCUCUCCUGACGCUGAGGCGCGAAAGCUAGGGGAGCAAACGGGAUUAGAUACCCCGGUAGUCCUAGCCCUAAACGAUGGGCACUAGAUUGUAGACUUACAUGGGUUUACAGUCGAAGCAAAAGUGUUAAGUGCCCCGCCUGGGGAGUAUGGUCGCAAGGCUGAAACUCAAAUGAAUUGACGG